Perognathus longimembris pacificus (Pacific pocket mouse) is the source of this 108-nucleotide small nuclear RNA. The record is from RefSeq and is a predicted model, not a curated record. Lineage: Eukaryota; Metazoa; Chordata; Mammalia; Rodentia; Heteromyidae.
GUGCUCACUUCAGCAGCACAUAUACUAAAGUGGGAACAAUACAGACAAGAUCAGCAUGGCCUGUGCACAAGGGUGACAUACAAAAUUCAUGAAGCAUUCCAUAUUUUU